NNCAGAGAGAGCAGACUCCAGUGCCCUGGCCGUCAUGUCUUUGAUGCCGACGGCUGCCCAUCUGCUAGUUCUAUCCUCAAACACCGAGACAAGG
This 94-nucleotide small nucleolar RNA is filed under the name Echinops telfairi (small Madagascar hedgehog). Its description in RNAcentral is "Small nucleolar RNA SNORA57 (ENSETEG00000025216.1)". It matches the Rfam family "Small nucleolar RNA SNORA57", at positions 56 to 149 of the family's 149-position model. Rfam says of the family: U99 belongs to the H/ACA class of snoRNAs which are thought to guide the sites of modification of uridines to pseudouridines, the target for this family is unknown. Lineage: Eukaryota; Metazoa; Chordata; Mammalia; Afrosoricida; Tenrecidae. The record is from RNAcentral.